This 406-nucleotide long non-coding RNA is filed under the name Pan troglodytes (chimpanzee). RNAcentral describes it as "long non-coding RNA NONPTRT011050". The record is from RNAcentral. Lineage: Eukaryota; Metazoa; Chordata; Mammalia; Primates; Hominidae.
UGUCCCUCACUGGCUCUGGGUCCUGGGCCUCUACCCAGGCCUGAGUCCAUGCGCUCAGAAAAGGUGUGAUUUCAUCCUUCUGGAGUACUGGUGUUCAUGUGACUGUCCUUUGAAAGAACAGGGCAAGAGUCAUCUGUUUUCUAUUAAACUUUGAUGACAUUUGAUACACACAAGACACUGAGAGAGGGGCAGAGAAACCUGGAUGUGCAGAUAAAAUAGAGACCAAAGUAGUACAUCAGGAGAGAUGUGAAGAUAUCCCAGGUAACAUUCACUGUGAUCCGUUAUGUGAGCAACAAUGUGGAGUACUGGUAUAGAGUUUCGGGAGACCUGGGUGUUAAUUCUAGCUUAGUCACACGCUACGUGUGUGAACUUGCGCAAGUUACUUGAUCCUGAAGCCUCACUUUUC